UGGGGAAUAUUGCACAAUGGGCGAAAGCCUGAUGCAGCAACGCCGCGUGAGGGACGACGGCCUUCGGGUUGUAAACCUCUUUUAGCAAGGAAGAAGCGAAAGUGACGGUACUUGCAGAAAAAGCGCCGGCUAACUACGUGCCAGCAGCCGCGGUAAUACGUAGGGCGCAAGCGUUAUCCGGAAUUAUUGGGCGUAAAGAGCUCGUAGGCGGUUUGUCGCGUCUGCUGUGAAAACCCGAGGCUCAACCUCGGGCCUGCAGUGGGUACGGGCAGACUAGAGUGCGGUAGGGGAGAUUGGAACUCCUGGUGUAGCGGUGGAAUGCGCAGAUAUCAGGAAGAACACCGAUGGCGAAGGCAGAUCUCUGGGCCGUAACUGACGCUGAGGAGCGAAACGGGUGGGGAGCAAACAGGCUUAGAUACCUGGUAGUCACCCCGUAAACGUUGGGAACUAGUUGUGGGGUCCAUUCCACGGAUUCCGUGACGCAGCUAACGCA
Molecule: ribosomal RNA, 493 nt
Filed under: uncultured bacterium
Lineage: Bacteria
Description: partial 16S ribosomal RNA
Rfam family: Bacterial small subunit ribosomal RNA
Source: RNAcentral